CCUCCCCCCCCCGGGUAAGACUUCCAGCCACGAAGCCUUCCCCCACUUCAGCAGCAUGGGGACUAUAUAAGCCUGGAGGUAGGACUGCUCAGUGAUGGUCCUAAAGAGACUGCCAGUGCAUUUGUUUGUUACCCUGAAAUCUUUUAGUUCAGGCGUCAGGGCCUCAAGGACUAGGAUGUUGGGCUAAUUGCACUGGAUACGCAUAGUCAUUACCUAUGAACUGAGCAGAUAAUGAUUUACAGUGGCCAGUGGAGCAAACUGAGGACUCCUUGCCCACUCACUAUUUAAAUACCCAGCUGGUGCUUUAGUUUGCUUGUGAUUAGGAGAGUUCUGAUGGGCUGUAUCCCCAGCUCCAGGCACAGAUCCCUGAAAGAGGAGCCAUUCAGAUACCUAAAACAAGGAGACAGGCAAACCCUCCUUCUCGCAGAUCUCCUUUUACACCACCCAGCACCACCCAUUUGGACCUGCUGUGAUCCCAUGAUUGGAAGGACAUUUUACAAACAUUUCAGUUCAAAUGCCCUGAGCAGAGGCGUUCCACAGGAGUCAGAAAUGGUGACUUGGAAACAAGAGACCUUAAACUAAAAGCAUUGUUGGAGUUGAAACAUGUUCAGUGGUUUUGUUACAUUUCUUCUGUAUACUGGCAGUUGGUCUUUCAUUCUCCUUUAGCUUUCAGAGUAAGGAUCUACCUACCGCCUGAGAGCUCCACACUCAUGGAAGACAACAAGACUCACGAAGCAACAGCAAAACGGAGAGCAGCAACACCCAACAAAGACUGUGAAGCACCAGGUGUGUAGUCGCCACUGGAACAGCCGCUUCAUGGGAGGUAGCCUAGGAUGGAGCCCAGCCUGCCUGGAGAUGAGGGACCAGAGCAACUGGACAAGGCAGCAUGCUCAUCUGAGUUCCCAUAAAGUCCCUGGGAAUGACUUUCUUCAGAACAGUAGGACACCAGGCUCUCCCCACAGCCUCCUUCAUUCCUUCAGCUCAGGGCUCUGCACACAAGCUGUCGUCAGCAAAACCUUCAGUAACCAUGCUGAUACACAUAAGAGAUGGAAAGGGGAACCACUGUUUCUUGAGGGGGAGGCUGAGGAAACAGGUGACGCGUGGUGGGAGGAUGAGCACUGAGAAAUGGAGAAAUGAAAAAUAGAAGGUUUUCGCUAGAGCUGUGACAAAUAUAGCUCUUCUAAGUGUAAUGGAACUAGACGGCCCACUAGAGUGGGCAGAGACAACUUGGUGGCCUUUUAAAAGAGGAAGGAGUGACAAAUAUGUGAAGAUACUAAACUGAUGUAUAACCUGAGAGCCCUGACUCUCAAGCUUUUGGGGUUCACGCUGAGGUGAUUUUAAGAAGCUACUGGUCCAAAUUGCCCACCCAUUGCCACAGGUUAUUGCCCCAUUACUGACUUGUCAGAAAUAGCAGUGUGCCUACACCAGACUGAUAUAUUGACAUAAACUGAGGUGACUGUGGCUAAUUCAGUUCACUAGGAUGUGGACUGUGGUGGCCAAGGGAUCUCCUUCUUGAUCCCUAUCAGAUCUAGUUGAACAGGUGAUCAGCUGAGGUCAGAAACCUCCUGAGCCAUCACAGCCUAAGUUGACAAGCACCAAGAGUUGCCAAGAGAUCACCAGGAGAGCCUUGAUACCAUUUUAGCCAAUUUGCUUGUCUUUAGACCUCCUUUUCUCUGCUUUUCACAAAUUCCUUUAUUGCCCUAGCUUGCAGAAGGUUUACAAAAGCACUGUAAGCUCGUUCUUUUGGUCUGUUGUCUUUCCCCUAGGGAGCCGAGUGCCAGAGCGAGUAGCAUAGACAGGAUGUAAUCCCUUGACAUGGUUCAGCAAAGAGCACUGGUAGUUUUAUAGCAUGGCUGUCAGGGUGCAGCGAGGGCCGGGGAGAAAUCCCAGGGUGGGAAGGCAGGGCCUGGCAGCCAGGGCCUGUCCCACCGCCCUGGCCAGGGCAGCCCAGGCAGAGGCAGCCCCAGCUCCGGGCAGCCGGCGCCUCCAUGGGGAUGGGAACGGGCCCACGGCCAGGCAGGGCAGGGCUUUGGGGAGCUGGAGACCGGCCCUGCUGUGGCAUCAUGGGGCAGGGAUCCACAGCCCCGGGUGGCUGAAAUGGGGUCCUGGGCUCUGGGCAGGGUGGGGGGAGCCCCAGGAGAGCUGGGGCAGGGACAGGCAGGGCUGGUGGUGCCCUCAGGGCCCUGACAAUGUCAUUGACCAAGACUGACACUUUUGAUCAUCUCUGCUCAUAUUAAGGAACUACAGAGGAAAACCUCCUCCAAGAAAUGUGUUGCAAAACUAAGCUUAAUCCACUGUAAUCGAAGUUCAUUAUUGUUACCUUCGUCAUGUGCUCUGAUAACCACAGUGCAAAUUACCACUGCAGAGCUGAAAAGAUGCCUUACACUUGGUGCCAGGUUUGCACUGCUUCUGGAGAUGCGGUUUAGCUCAGACUACAGCGAUCCCUGCACAUGCUAGGAGGAGCUGCUAAUAAAUGGCAAGUAGUCCCACGAGAAUCACGACUAAUGGCUCCCGCUCAGUUAGAUAAUCAACCAUUUAAUAAAGGGUGAGCUUCUACCUCUUCCCUUCCAUGGGGAGCAUUAAUGCAUUAUUUUUCCCCUCCUUAGCCACUUAUUUCCACAAAAGUGGUAGGAAUGUAAUAUUUUUGAAACCACUCUUCCUCUAUUAAUCUUAGCUGAAAUUGCCUCAUGGAUUCAAAAGUUAUUAGGAAUAGCUAGAUGGUUGUACAGAUGUUGACAGACAGACACAAAGCAUUAUUGUAUUAAGAAAGCACUCAAGUUUAUAGCAACACAGAUUUUUUUAAAUCACGUUAACAUCCAGCAGAUAGCUACUAGUAUGAGGAUUAUGUUUCAUUUCUACACAAGUCUGCCUCACUAACAGCCUAAGAAGCUAAAGGAGCUCAGAAAGAAGUGGCCAUUGCUUAGACUUCAUGCCUUGAUGGUCUUCUCUGGGAAGGAGUGAUUGCACUUUCAGGACUUGGCAGGAGGGCUUGCAUAAAUACUCUUCAGAGACUAAAAGUUUUGCUUUGCACAUCUGAUUCCAGAUCUUUCAAAGCUGCAGUUACCAUCUUUCUCCCCUCCAACAUUUUAUAAAUUAAACCGUCUCUUACUCUGUCCGCUUCCCAUGUUAGCCUUUCCCUUCUCUUACCUUGAGACUUGAAGGAGCAGAGGUUGCUGCUCUUACCGAUGCUGAGCUUCUCAAUAGCUAAAAAGCCAUGUUGCUUUAUGUGAGUAUUUGUUUCUCAGGGAAGUUCAAGCUUUAGAUAUAAACAUUUGUGAGUAAUUUCUCCUUAGGACUAUUUAAAAUAUAAUGAGAUCUACAUUUUAUAUUGAUUUGAGCUUUGGUUUACUUGUUCAUGUAUUUUUUAAAAAGAACAGAUGCUGCUUGAAUGUUUCCUAUGAGGCAGAUUAAACACACUCUAGAGAGCACACCUGAGCCAAAGGUCAAUCUUUCUCAGCGAGCCAGCUAGCAACAAAUGGCUCCAUGGUUUCCCAAUUUUGGUAAUGAAGGCUUAUAAAGUAGACUAUAAAGAAAUUAUUUUUAUUUAUUUUUAUUUAACUGCCUACAAACUACUGAAAUACAUGUUUUGAAAAUUUUUGCUCUAGUAGCCUGCAGAGGAUAGCAUCUGGUUUUCUACCUACAGUAUUAUUUAAUUUGGAAAAUUCCAAGUCUUCCAAUAAAUUGGUCUGGCAGCUUUCACUGUAGAAUCACAAGUUGAGUGGUUUCCACUGCCAGCCAUACCUACAGUUCUGCCCUUCUGAGAAGUGUAUUUCUCGCAAGACUUAAGCUUCUUUCCAAUUAAAGUCUGAAAUGGCUUUGUCGUAUCUGUGGGCCACUGUACUUGUUGUAAAGCACCUCAUUUAACUAAUCUCACUGCCAUUGCCUUUAAAAUGAUGGUGUUCAUGCCCAGGACAAGCACUCUGUUUCUUCCAUGAGAGGUUUGGUUACCUCAGAGAGUUGUGCCAAAUAUGUCAGGGAAAAAUAAUCUCUUCAAAACUCUCCAUGCUAGCCCUAAGCAGAGUAGUAAAAACAGAUUGGUGAAAUAAAAGCUGUGAUCUGUCACCAUGUAUGGCUAGGAGGAAUUACUGAAAAGCUCAUUGUGUUCCCUCCUCACCCUCUGAAUCACUCUGGGUAUUACAGUUUAGUCUAUGUAUUUCAAAGGCAGAAGAGAAAUCAAUGUUGCAUCAGCAUUCAGAAUGUCAAAGCCACCCAAACAAGCAGUGGAUGUGUCAUUUGUUUGUGAUGAUCUCUACUAACAGAUUAUUCUGUAAACUAUCUUAAGCUAAAACUCUAGUUUGUUUAUCUUCAGAAAGGGACUAGGCAGUUUUUGGGGGGAUGAAGGGAGAAAGUAAUACUUUUUUUCAGGAAGAGCUUUUUACUGCUACUCAUCCAAAGACAGAGCAACUGUUAGUUGGUCCGUUUGAGUGAUUUUCUUAAAUGAAGGUGGGGAAUAACAAGUCACAGGAAGCCUGGCCAUGUUUCCAGGGGAGAACAGAGCAUUUGUCUCCUAUCUAUCUAAAGUGGCCAACCAAAAUGGCAAAGUCCCUCAGCAAAAAAGCAGAAUUAUAUGAAUUUAAAAAUACCACAAGCAUUUCAGUACGUAGCUACAUAUGCCAUGGAGACUGAGACAUUUCCUACUGACAGUGGAAGCAGAAUGUUUAUAUUAUAAAUUAUUCUUGAUGGCUCUGAAUGAUAAAUGUCAAAAACAAGUGAUCCUAGAGGGAACUCUAUUCUAGCAGAAUUCUAAAUCUGUUCUGAAAAGCAUAUUCAGACUGAAGAAAUUGAUGGAACCGGUAUUUUACAGAAGCCCUUUGUUUUCUCCUUUCAUGUACAGUUUCUAAAUACAGACCUGUAGUAUUUUUCCCAUGGGUUUGGAAGAUCUGAAUUUCUCCCGAGAUGACUUCCUAAUUUUUUCAACCACCACUUCACCCUUGUUACUUAUCUGUCCUGAUAUUUCACCUUUCUAAAGUUUUGAAUCAAGGCAUUAUCUGUGUGAAAUGUCUGGUCAAGCAGUUAUAGAUUACAAAAGCUCAUGUCUGGGGCUCUUCAUCUAGUAGAGAUGGGAGGUGAGAGGGACCAGGCCGUCAGAGAAAAGGGCCUAAGUAUCUCUAAUCUUCUCUACUCUCCUUUAUUCUCUGCCUUAGGAAUGAUUGCACUUCAGAAUGAGUAUUACAGAGAAAUAUUUUUUUCUGCCUUUUCUGAAGACUUCACUAGCUGUAGUUGCUCUAGGAUUCCCCAAGAUGAUAUCUGAGUAUAAAUCAUUUCUAAAUUUUUAUUAAAAAUUGAUGCAAGAGAGAGCAGUGAGAACAAAAUUGGGAUCUUAGUCUAAAUUCUGUUCAGUUUCUGUUUUUCAGUUACUCUGGGUAUAAAAUGUGAAAAUAUAUAGAAGUGGAUAAUCCAAUUUUGUUUCAGAAGUAAGUGUUUUAUUGUUCAGUGUAGAAGUGGAUACUCCACUUACACAAAAGAAGAGUUGUGAAUCUGUGAAUCUGGUUGUUGAAUCUUCACUGGGAUUUUAUUUUCCACCAGUUUUCAUUUCCACAUUUCAUUUCCUUCCUGGUCCUGUGCGCCACGUAUCCAAAUCUCUGUGUGACCAAAUGCAACGAUACAUGGGCCAUGUGGUUUGAAGAAAGAAAUGGGGAGAUGGGGUGGGGACCCUAGAUUCAGAUUAUCCACCAGCAAAUUGCCCCAGCAGCCACAGACUUAGCCUUGGCCCUGUGCCGCACGCACUUGCCGCUCCUGAGUUAGUUGGUUUAGUUGAAAAGGCCAGAGCUGUGCUUCCACCGUCAAAGGUCAAGAUCACUGAUGGGUGCCAGUGGUCCCUCUGAAGACCCUAAUGAAAGUAAGGCUACAGGCUGCCUUGCAUUCUCCAGGAAUUCACAUAGAGGUAGUUAACUUGUUGGAAAUGCACCUUUGGUUUUUUUGGAGUGGAAAAACCGGCGCUAAUUGACAGGGUAGGAGAUGUCUGGGUAUGUUGGAGGACUCCUUUUUCUUUAAAUGGAGGGGGGAAAAAAGACAUGCAGAAUUUCUAUUUUGAUGAACUGACUCUAGGUGGCAACAACACGCUGUGUAGCCUUACCAGAGACUAGUCAGGCAAAGACUAUUGAAUGCUUCUUACACAUAGGCAAAAAAAUGGUAGCAGUUUCAGUACUGCUUCUAGAAAAUUUUCUAGCUGAUUGAACCAGCUGCACAUUGCUAGAAACAUUUCCAGAUUCUGUCAGUUUUCAUUGUAAUAGAGGACCUGGGUUUUCAACACGUAUUUUGAAUAAGAUGCUGCAUGUUUCAUUUUGUAGGCAUAAUGCUGCAGGUGUGCAGAGGAAAAUUAGCAAACUAUUCUCUUUUGGUUAUCCUGUUUGGAUGGGCGAUCUCAGGAAGUGCAUGUAUAAUCCUGAUUUGUAAUGAUGCCUGUAAAAGUGCACAGAUGGGUAUGUACAAUUGCAGUUCUGUGGCAUUCACCAACGAUGCUCUUGAAAUGCCACUUCAUCACCUUGUCAAAAAACCAGCCGCACAGAUACCUACAAAAUGCUUGCCACAUCCUCUGUGUAAAACACUGCUUUAUCUGCCAAAAGAUUUGUAAUGGCCUAUUUCACUCCUUCACUACAUAUCCAGCUUCCUGGGCUUAGCGGUAGAUAAGCAAACACUUGCACAAUAUAAAAAUUUUCACAAGUAUGAUGAACUGCAGUGUUUUCGCAUUUUUCUCAAAAGUCAGUUUGACUGUUAACUCCACUGACCCUUGAAAUAUUUAAAUCUGUUAUUGAUGUGUUCAUAGACAUAGGGAGAAAGCAGAGAAAAAAAUACUAGUUUUGAUUACCUGUUGCAGCAAAGAAAGAACUGUCAUUGUAACUGUACUACAUACUAAUAAUGACCACAGAAAAUCUUUCAAGUGUCAUGACAUCAUGUUUGUAGCAAGGCCAAAGUGUCUGAUGGCAUCUACAGGAUAUGAUAAACUUCUUUAUUACUCUGUCAAAGUGACAAAGCUGUGAAACCCUGUGAUUAAAUCAGCUGUUUUGUAUAAUUGAGCCAUUCACCUGCAUGUUGUCAAUUAAUAUCCUCUGAGGCUACUUCCAGUAUUUCAAAUCUCUAAGCUGCUUUCAAAGAAAAGAACUGUCAUUUAAAAUGUAAAAAUGUAUCACCUGAAAGCAAUUUCUUCCUUUCUUACCAAAGUGUGGAGUUUCCCUUUAAAUGAUACUAAAUCAGGUUUCCAGAUUCACAGUACUCUAAAUCAGUAUCUUAUAAUCCUCUAUAAACCUGGUAGACUGAUUUUUUUAAAUAAAUAUGUAUAAAUUAAUCAGGAUUUAUUCCUAGUAGGAAUAUAUAAACGUAUCUGGGAUGAAAGUGCCCUAAAAAGGAAAAACAGAAUCCACUAACCCUUUAAGGUACUUUGUAUCAAUGUAUUUUGUGUAACGCUUAUUUUUAUUAGUUUUUCUUCCUUUCAUUUAAGCAGUAGUUUUACUAUACAUUUUUCAAAAAGUGGGGACACGAUGGCAAAAGUAAUGGAAACACAAUUGGAAAAAUUGGUUUUAUCUAUGACAUAUUGUCCAUAUACAUAUCAUAAUAUAUUGUUUUUCAAGUUUCCUUGUGUUAAAAAGGCAUAUCUGUGUAAAAACAAUGCUGCUAACCAUGGUGGGUGUUUUCAGUUGUAUUCUGAGAUACCCACACUUACUCGGAGGCAUGUAUACCACCCCAAGAGGUGAGGUGACAGUUGAGUACACCAGCACUGAAGACUCAUUUUGGACAGGCCCUGAGAUCCUUCUCAACUCGUCUCCCCCACAGCUUGAGGAGACUUGAUAAAGUAUCAUCACGUAAAGCUAUCAUAACACCCGUCCUGUACUAUCUGCGGUAACCCUCAAAUGGAAAAAGUGACACUUUCAUUACAACCACUGCGGCUAUUUUCAGGAGUCAUUCACCUUGUGGCAUCUCACACCUGUUUGUCUCCCCACAGGCGUCCCAUGUGUCACCCCCGCUUUCCGAUGCUAGUAGCUCUCAUUUCCCUCACGUGCCCUGCAUGCUCAUUAUUUUCUUUCUGCUUCCCAUACCCGGUGUCCCAUUCUCUCCAUUCUCACCCCACAGUAGGCUCAUCUCACACUCCUUAGAGGUGGUAUUUUCAUGCCACAUUCCACAUCUUUUCCCAAAAAGCUUUGUCUACACUAAGAGUCUCUGCACUGUUUCUUCACCCAGUCGGGCUUCUCCCCUCAGGCUGCUACCUGGUUCUGUUUCCUUCCUUCCCUCUCCAUACCGAUACUUCUGUUGAUCCUUUCACACAUUGCUUAAGCUGUGGUUUUCUCUUUCAUGCCAGAUCUGUGUUGCACUGUGGGACUCCAUACUAGAAAUCCACCUUUCCUCCUGUCCUGGUUUCAGCUGGGACAGAGUUAAUUUUCUUUCUAGUAUUGUUAUUAUUUUGUUCCUUUCUGUCCUAUUAAGCUGUUCUUAUCUCACCCCACGAGUUUUACUUUUUUUUUUUGAUUCUCUCCCCCAUCCCCCUGGGUGGGGGAAGCGAGUGAGCGGCCAGGUUAAACCAUGACACCUCCAUGCCAGAAGCUUUAUGUGCCCCUGCUAAUUUUUGUCCCUCCUCCUAUUUCUUGUUACUUUCUCUUCCAAGGUGUCAACAUUUUGAACACAACUGGGUUCUAGGGCCAAAAUAAAAUCAGUAACACAUUGA
Harpia harpyja (harpy eagle) is the source of this 8656-nucleotide long non-coding RNA. RefSeq lists it as uncharacterized. The transcript has 2 exons. The record is from RefSeq and is a predicted model, not a curated record. Lineage: Eukaryota; Metazoa; Chordata; Aves; Accipitriformes; Accipitridae.